This is a long non-coding RNA of Pipra filicauda (Wire-tailed manakin), 4685 nucleotides long. RefSeq lists it as uncharacterized. Lineage: Eukaryota; Metazoa; Chordata; Aves; Passeriformes; Pipridae. The transcript is spliced from 2 exons. The record is from RefSeq and is a predicted model, not a curated record.
UCUGGUCACGGUGCUGCAGCCUGGGCUGGAUGGGCAGCAGAGCCAGGGGGAACACAAGAGUGGAAGACAGGGCCUGGUGAGAGGACAGGGGGCUCAGCAGAUCCAGCUGGGAAGGAGCAGGGUACUGGAACACCCAGCAUGUCCCCAAAGCCUCUCUGAGCACCUGCCACCAGUGAGACCUCUGACCUCUCUGCCCUCAGCCCCAAGCACUGUACUGGGCCUUGCCCUUUUUCUGUGCCAGGUGAUCUGACUCCAAGCUGAUUUGCAAAGAAGGGUUGGGAAUCCUGUAACAUUCUAGCCCUGGGAGCUGCAGGCUCAGGGGCUCAACCAGGACUUUUACUUCAAAAUAUAUAUAUAUAUAUGGGGUUCUUUAUUAUCUCAAGACAGUGUGAAGAGAAUAAGCCACAGACUUGUUCCCAAGAGGUACUUUUAUUAAUUUAGGAGAGAAAAUAAGGGAACUUGUCAAAAGUUCAAAAGGGCACUACACAAGCUAGACAAAAAGUUCCACCACAAUACCAACCCAGCACAUACUAAUCCACAACACUAAGUCAAGAUCCAGUCACUCCACAACACUUGACGGAAAUCCAAUCCCUGCAGCUCCAAGCCACCCAGAGCAUCAAAGAGCAAAGAAAGAAAAGCAGAGGGAGCAAGAGGAGAGAAGGAGCAAGAGGGAGAGAGAUCAUAUUGAGACAAAAGGCAAAAUGGAGCUCCUGUGCUCCUUUAUUUUUAUGGUCUGGCCAGUGUGGCCACCCAUCCCAGGUGGGACAUCUGAUUCUGUGACUGGGGUGAUUUAUUCUCUGGCUGCCAGGGGUAAGGAGUAAGGUUUGACAUUGGUUACAAGGGAAGGAGGAAGCAGGGAGGCAGCGCCUAGAAAACAAAUGAUGGGUUUCCUUCCGAAAAGCUCUUAUUUUCUUCUUUAUUGUGCAUCUAAGACCUUCCCAUUAGGAGGUCCAGCCCCAGUAAAUUAGUAGGAAAUUCCCACAAAACAGUUAGGGUUUCAAUCACUUUCUCCUCCCUCGGUAACCAGCAUCUUACCUUGACUGUUAUUUAGGGUUGGGUGUAUCCAAAUGCAUCAACAACAUGUGAGGGAACAAUUCCACCUGCAGAAGUGUCUUCAACUUUGAGGGUGGAUAUGUGAGCUCCGAUGUCUAUUUAAAAGGUUACAGGGACUUUGUGGGGACCAACAGGGCAGGUUAUUAGUAAAUCUCCUUUAGAGAUUUUGGUAAGCUGCCAGAAAAAAAACACUCUCUGUCCCCCGGCUUUCCUACUGAGGACAAAGGAAGGGGUUUCCCACCUCCUCCCCUUUGUGGUGCCUCUAAAGGUGGGACUGUAACAGGGACAACAGCUUUUGUGGGUUCUUCUUUCAGCUACCCACUAAUAUCUCUGAUUUAUCCGUGCAUUUGCUGACCAUUAGGGUUUUUGGGAUUCCUUUUUGCAAGUCUAAAAUCCAAAGAGCGUUUCUUUUUCUCCAGUGUUCUUCAUUUGUGUGGAUGCGUCCUCCUUGCCUGAGGGAGAAUGUUACUUUUCUGAGUCCCAUGGGGGAUGUAGGUGUUUUACAUUCUGUGUGCUGAAUUAGUUUGGAGCCAAUUUUGCUAGGGACAAUUGGGCUGUAUUGUCUUCCAUAAUUAAUUAAUGUGUCACUUCCCCUCAAGUCCAGGUUUUAUGUUCACUGUGGUUGUGGUUGGGGGUUACCACUUCCUCUAAGGCGGCUACAGUUCUUCCCCACCAGCAAGACUUCCUAUUUGUCCCUUUAGCUGGAUGCCCAUGGGUUUCAAGGAUUCAGGGAGACCUCUAAUGAGGGGCGUCAUUCUCUCAGGGUCCACAGGCAUCGUCACUGGGCAUUUGUGUCAUGGCGUUAACUCUCUGUCAUGGCAUCAUUUGUAAGCAGGCAGCUUUUUGUACACUCUCCAUAAUUUGAUCAACAUUCCCCACUAUUGCCAGGGGGUCUCCCCUUUCCAGGGGAUUAAGUCUGCCAGCCUAGGACUCUGCUCUCUGUGUGAGAGACCAGGGAGUUUAGUUGUUUCCUGUGGUCAGGAAGACCCCCAGUCCCCAGUAUCCUUCUCCUUCUUUUUCUGGUAAUAAUCUGCAAUAGAUUUGAAAUGUCUAAGCCCUUCUCUUUAAGUGGAAACAUGACUCUUUAUUGAGAAUAUUAAUUUAUAACUGAUGAUUAUUUACCGUAUGUAAUCAGGAUCACUUGUUAUUUUCUUCUCUUACACUAGUAAGAUGGCUGUUUGAAUGUAAAAGAAGUCAGUUGUUUAUGAUGGAGCCCUCUGUUUCAAUAGUGGUGAAGAAAUACGAAGUUGUAUUUCUCAGAUUUGCUCAGAAAAGCCUGGAAACUAGAAAUACACUUUUACAAUACUGAAUUGUAGCUUUUUGAAUCUGAAGAGUUAGACCUCUUUGACUGAAUAAAUCAGGCAUACAUGGCAGGUAGGUGCAUUGGACAACACCUGGGAGGGACAAAUUCCCUCAUGCUCUGCUCUCUAGCUCUCUGUACCCCCCUGGUUCCUCCCAGGGGGGUCUCUGUCUCAGUCUCGCAGGUCUUCUCCUCUCUCUCCUUCCCAUCCAAACCAUUUUAUUUUUCUAUUAGUUUUUAAUGUCAAAUCUGUCCUCCUUGAUCAACCUGUGAUAGUAAAGAACAAUUUCUCACACCAUUUGCAGCCUGUGUUUUGAAUUCCUCAUAGGGGCGUCAGAGUUAGAAAAUAGAAGUUACAAUACAUUACAGCCCUCUGUGUUUGUACUUUGUGUACUAUUUUUAAUGCUUAAUCCAAGGCUAUUAUCUGACUAAAAAGGGGAAAUGCCUUGCUUUUGGCAACUCAGCUUGUCAUCUUUCUCAAAAUUAGAGCUUUAGGCAUUCAAGAGAGGCUUGAAAGAAUUGUCCUGUUUACAGAAUUAUUUCCCACAGUACCAGACAGUAAUCACACAAGUUCAGCUGAUUUUUCUGCAAAGCCUUUGAUAAACUAUUUUCUAAAAGAGGGAAAAUAAAAUGCAUUAAUUGGUGGACCAGCACAGGCAAGUGUCCUGGUUUUAGCUGGGACAGAGAUAAUUUUCUUUUUAGUAGCUGGUACACUGCUGUGUUUUGUGGUGAGCAGCCACACUGUACAUCACUGUUAUCUCCUGGUUAUUUGCUGCAGUCAUCAUAAAAAGAAGACUCGACAACCCGUGGGUUCAACCAGAGUGAUACAGCUUGGGGCUAUCUCCCUUUAUUGAAGGUGUCUAGCUCUAUUUAUAGGGUAAGGUGGGAAGGUUCUGGAAAACAGGAAGGAGCAUAGGAUUGACAGGGGUGAUAACCAACCAGGGAAGGAAGGAGGGAACAUGAGAUCAGGAGGGACCAAUGAGAGAAACAUCUGCAGUGCAGCAAAUGUGAACCAAUAGAAAAAAGGGCAUAAUUCUGAGGGGAAAAAUAUGAAAUUUGAUAAAAACUGGGGUACAACAAAUAGCGAACAUGCAUUAACAAUUCUAAUUAAUAACAGUCUCUGUCUUAACCGCAUCAUGUUAUAUAUCUUCAAAUCAUAUCUUCAUUCGUCGCUGUUCUCAGCCAUAACUUCUUGCAGCCGUCUUUUUCCAUUCAAUAAACUUUUCUUCCUCACUUUCUGUGCCCUCCGCAUUUAUUUUUUUCUCCCUCUUUUUCAGUACAAUUAUUAGUUUUAGUAGUAGUAAUUUAUGCAGUAGUAGUAAUUUAUUUUGUGUCAGUUAAUAAACACUUCUUAUUUCAAUCCACAGAGUUUCCUCACUGGAGGAGUGAGUGGCUGUGUGGUACUUAGUUGCCAGCUGGGGUCAAACCAUGACAGCAAGAAUGACAUUUUCUAUAUUUCCCACUCAAGAUCCAUCAUAAGCAGAUGAAAAACAAAGGAAAAAAAAUUCCAAAGCAUUUCCCACCUUUCAUUAGAAAUGUUAUCGUAUUAACCUACAGAUUGUAUUGCAGCCCAGAUGUCAUGGCAAUCCAUGUGCUAAGCCAGAGAGCAGACUGUUUAGGAAGGAGUUACAGCCUCAUUGGGAAAAAAGGCUCUUCUGGAAAGAUGGUCUCCAUCCACAUGAGUAACGGACUAAGCUAAACUUCAACGAGGAACUGUUUUUUACUUUUCUUCUGCAUUCUUAUUAUCAUUCUGAACAAAAACACCAUAAUUUUUUUGUCCCAAUUAACAAAUUAGGUUAAACUGUUAUGUAUUAGGUAAUCACCUCCUGAUAGACAUCAGUAUGACAUGAAUUCUUACUUUAAUUCUCUCCCUCUGCCCAGAGGUCCCUUAAAUGGACAAAAUAAAGGCCAUUUGGCAAAAAAUACAAAAUAAAUGUACACAUAGUAGAAUAUUUUUGCAGUUACAAGCUGGUUCACUAGAAACACAGACACACAGAGUAAAAAUGGAGACAGAAGUUAAUGAAGAAUGGGAGAUACAUGUGUCACAUUAUUAGCAAUGCAAAAGACCAGCUUAAGCAUGUGUUUCCCUACAUCAACUAUAAAAAAGAAAAGGUGCCUUUUUAGCAAGUAUGCACAGAGUUUGCUUUGUUAUUUCUAAGAAAAAAAAUCAGAACACUUCACUAUUUUUAUUCUAUAUUACAGUCAUUAUUACUACCUGUUUAUAAAAUGUAAACCCUUCCUUGCAGUUAAGAUUUACAGAAGUCAUCACCUUUGUCCACUCCUUACAUAAUCAGUCCAUGGAGACAAAAAUAAACUGAUUUAUUUUACAUAU